RNAcentral lists this ribosomal RNA (279 nucleotides) under uncultured bacterium. RNAcentral's name for it is "partial 16S ribosomal RNA". It matches the Rfam family "Bacterial small subunit ribosomal RNA", at positions 506 to 784 of the family's 1533-position model. The record is from RNAcentral.
UGCCAGCAGCCGCGGUAACACGGGGGGCGCAAGCGUUAUUCGGAAUUAUUGGGCGUAAAGCGCGUGUAGGCGGUUCGUUAAGUCUGAUGUGAAAGACCGGGGCUCAACUCCGAGUUUGUAUACAAAACUGUUCAUCUAGAAUAGGGGAGAGGUAAGUGGAAUUCUGCGUGUAGGGGUGCAAUCCGUAGAUACGCAGAGGAACACCAAAAGCGAAGGCAACUUACUGGAACCUUAUUGACACUGAGGAACGAAAGCGUGGGGAGCGAAAAGGAUUAGAUA